This 253-nucleotide unclassified non-coding RNA is filed under the name uncultured Parcubacteria group bacterium. Its description in RNAcentral is "contains 16S-23S intergenic spacer region". It matches the Rfam family "Bacterial small subunit ribosomal RNA", at positions 524 to 776 of the family's 1533-position model. The record is from RNAcentral.
UACAGAGGCCUCAAGCGUUAUCCGGAAUUAUUGGGCGUAAAGGGUGUGUAGGUGGUUAUAUUAGUCUCAUGUUAAAUCCUCGGGCUCAACCCGAGAAUCGCAUGAGAAACGGUAUAACUAGAGGAUGCGAGAGGUGUACGGAACUCAUGGAGUAGGGGUGAAAUCCGUUGAUAUCAUGGGGAACACCAAAAGCGAAGGCAGUACACUGGCGUAUUCCUGACACUGAGACACGAAAGCUAGGGUAGCGAACGGG